GUAGGUGAACCUGCGGAGGGAUCAAGAGAGAGUUUUCAACUCCCUAACCCUUCUGUGAACCUACCUAUCGUUGCUUCGGCGGACUCGCCCCAGCCCGGACGCGGACUGGACCAGCGGCCCGCCGGGGACCUCAAACUCUUGUAUUCCAGCAUCUUCUGAAUACGCCGCAAGGCAAAACAAAUGAAUCAAAACUUUCAACAACGGAUCUCUUGGCUCUGGCAUCGAUGAAGAACGCAGCGAAACGCGAUAAGUAAUGUGAAUUGCAGAAUCCAGUGAAUCAUCGAAUCUUUGAACGCACAUUGCGCCCGCCAGCAUUCUGGCGGGCAUGCCUGUUCGAGCGUCAUUUCAACCCUCGACCUCCCCUUGGGGGGGUCGGCGUUGGGGACCGGCAGCACACCGCCGGCCCUGAAAUGGAGUGGCGGCCCGUCCGCGGCGACCUCUGCGCAGUAAUACAGCUCGCACCGGAACCCCGACGCGGCCACGCCGUAAAACACCCAACUUCUGAACGUUGACCUCGAAUCAGGUAGGACUACCCGCUGAACUUAAGCAUAUCAAUAAGCGGAGGA
Molecule: ribosomal RNA, 566 nt
Filed under: Beauveria bassiana
Lineage: Eukaryota; Fungi; Ascomycota; Sordariomycetes; Hypocreales; Cordycipitaceae
Description: eukaryotic LSU rRNA
Rfam family: 5.8S ribosomal RNA (bases 190-343)
Source: RNAcentral